UACGGAGGGUGCAAGCGUUAUCCGGAUUCACUGGGUUUAAAGGGUGCGUAGGUGGGCAGGUAAGUCAGUGGUGAAAUCUCCGGGCUUAACUCGGAAACUGCCGUUGAUACUAUCUGUCUUGAAUAUCGUGGAGGUUAGCGGAAUAUGUCAUGUAGCGGUGAAAUGCUUAGAUAUGACAUAGAACACCGAUUGCGAAGGCAGCUAACUACACGAUCAUUGACACUGAGGCACGAAAGCGUGGGGAGCAAACAG
Molecule: ribosomal RNA, 252 nt
Filed under: uncultured bacterium
Lineage: Bacteria
Description: partial 16S ribosomal RNA
Rfam family: Bacterial small subunit ribosomal RNA
Source: RNAcentral